ACGAACGCUGGCGGCGUGCUUAACACAUGCCAGUCGAACGGAAAGGCCCUGCUUUUGUGGGGUGCUCGAGUGGCGAACGGGUGAGUAACACGUGAGUAACCUGCCCUUGACUUUGGGAUAACUUCAGGAAACUGGGGCUAAUACCGGAUAGGAGCUCCUGCUGCAUGGUGGGGGUUGGAAAGUUUCGGCGGUUGGGGAUGGACUCGCGGCUUAUCAGCUUGUUGGUGGGGUAGUGGCUUACCAAGGCUUUGACGGGUAGCCGGCCUGAGAGGGUGACCGGCCACAUUGGGACUGAGAUACGGCCCUGACUCCUACGGGAGGCAGCAGUGGGGAAUAUUGCACAAUGGGCGGAAGCCUGAUGCAGCAACGCCGCGUGCGGGAUGACGGCCUUCGGGUUGUAAACCGCUUUCGCCUGUGACGAAGCGUGAGUGACGGUAAUGGGUAAAGAAGCACCGGCUAACUACGUG
Molecule: ribosomal RNA, 467 nt
Filed under: uncultured bacterium
Lineage: Bacteria
Description: partial 16S ribosomal RNA
Rfam family: Bacterial small subunit ribosomal RNA
Source: RNAcentral